AUCGGGUCUGUCUAACUCUAGAGCACAUGCUCUCUCUGUUGAAACCCACUACAUGCGGCAGGUAUUGCAGUGGAGGAGGAAACAAAGUCAAAUGCAUAGUAGGACCUGGAAAUCUCUGCCAACAAGGCAACUGGGAAAGAGAAGGGCUGAAUGAACACAAAAUUUCUGGUUGCUGCACAAAAUAGGAUCAAAGAAGAGAGAAGAAGAAUAGAGAUACAUGAUUCUCACCUGCCUUUCCUUUAUGGCAAAUAUUUCUGCUUUGGAAGUUUCCAGCAAGUGCUUUUUCUCAUUCUGAGCACCCUCCUGUGCAUUGGGGCUGAACUUUCAACUCUACUCUCUGCCCGUGUCAUCUUUUGUGAGUAUUCUCUUCCUUUAAAUUCCCUCCGAGG
Molecule: long non-coding RNA, 389 nt
Filed under: Rhinopithecus bieti (black snub-nosed monkey)
Lineage: Eukaryota; Metazoa; Chordata; Mammalia; Primates; Cercopithecidae
Description: lncRNA (ENSRBIG00000045564.1)
Source: RNAcentral